RNAcentral lists this ribosomal RNA (376 nucleotides) under uncultured bacterium. RNAcentral's name for it is "bacterial SSU rRNA". It matches the Rfam family "Bacterial small subunit ribosomal RNA", at positions 524 to 898 of the family's 1533-position model. The record is from RNAcentral.
GACGUAGGAUGCGAGCGUUGUCCGGAUUUAUUGGGCGUAAAGAGUUCGUAGGUGGUUCGUUAAGUCUGGUGUAAAAGACUGGGGCUCAACCCUGGGAUCGCACUGGAUACUGGCGGACUGGAGUGUGGUAGAGGCAAGCGGAAUUCCCAGUGUAGCGGUGAAAUGCGUAGAUAUUGGGAAGAACACCGGUGGCGCAAGCGGCUUGCUGGGCCAUAACUGACACUGAGGAACGAAAGCUAGGGGAGCGAAUGGGAUUAGAUACCCCAGUAGUCCUAGCUGUAAACGAUGGAUACUAGACGUAUCGGGUAUCGACCCCUGAUGUGUCGCAGCAAACGCGAUAAGUAUCCCGCCUGAGUAGUACGGCCGCAAGGUUGAA